GACGAACGCUGGCGGCGUGCCUAAUACAUGCAAGUCGAGCGCUGAAGGUUGGUACUUGUACCUACUGGAUGAGCAGCGAACGGGUGAGUAACGCGUGGGGAAUCUGCCUUUGAGAGUGGGAUAACAUCUGGAAACGAAUGCUAAUACCGCAUAAUAUCUUUAAACACAAGUUUCAAGUUUGAAAGAUGCUAUUGCUUCACCUAAUGAUGAUCCCGUCUUUUCUUAGCGAGUUGGUAAGGUAAAGGCCUACAAAGGCAUGCUUGCAUAGCCGACCUGAGAGGUUAACCGGCCAAACUGGACUGGAGACCGGGUCCAGCUCCUUCGGGGGGCAACAAUAAGGGAACUUCGGGAAUUGGGGAAAGUCUGACCGGACAACGCCGCGGUGAUGGAUGAAGGUUUCGGGUCGUUAAACUCUGUUUAUAAGGGAAAAAGAUAGUUGGAAGGAAAUGCGCAUCAAGUGACGGUAACUACCCAGAAAGCGACGGCUAACUACGUG
RNAcentral lists this ribosomal RNA (496 nucleotides) under uncultured bacterium. Its description in RNAcentral is "partial 16S ribosomal RNA". It matches the Rfam family "Bacterial small subunit ribosomal RNA", at positions 28 to 507 of the family's 1533-position model. The record is from RNAcentral.